GUCUCAGCCUCACUCAGCCUUACUUUGUCAAUCUCACAGAGGAAGAUAAGGUAAGGCUGGUGCAGAAAAUUGGUCUGUAAUUAAAGCAGAUCAGAGGAAGAGGAAUUGGCACAUCAAUCCUUCUUCUUCUACUGUCUUGAAGAGCAAGUGCAAAAGAUUUUGCUGAUUGGACUUGGGAGGAGUUCAAUUUGAUUUCUUUUAAUUUAAGAGGAUACACAACUCUUACCAGUAAUGCUUUCUUUUAUUGUCACAAUUUGAUUGGAAGAUGGCAACAAUGAUAGAAAAGGGUUGCAGUGAAGGCAAAGCAUCUCGAGUUUUAUAUGUGUCUGGUGAAGAGGUUAGCUUUUAUUGGGUUUCUUUCCUGCAUCCUGGUAUUGUAGUUUGGGAUAAUAUU
This is a non-coding RNA of Arachis ipaensis, 394 nucleotides long. The record is from RefSeq and is a predicted model, not a curated record. NCBI's taxonomy places the organism in Eukaryota, Viridiplantae, Streptophyta, Magnoliopsida, Fabales, Fabaceae.